Molecule: long non-coding RNA, 867 nt
Organism: Engraulis encrasicolus (European anchovy)
Lineage: Eukaryota; Metazoa; Chordata; Actinopteri; Clupeiformes; Engraulidae
Exons: 3
Source: RefSeq, a predicted model, not a curated record
UGGCUGGGCACCGCGGCUGCAUCCUCUUCUUCGUGGCAUGGCACAGUAAUUGCAGGUUCAUCAGUCAGGUGGUCAGCACCCAAACUAAAACCAUACGUCAUGGUGGCCAGGAAUUGCAUCCCAGCAGCACAGAUGGGGGAGCCAACAUGAAGAGGUGUCCAGAGAGGCUUCUUCCUCUUUGGCUUUGCAGCAGCACCAGGACCUCACCAUCAGUGAUGCUGUUCAUCCAUCGGGCCUACCCUUACAUUCCUCCCCUGAUGCACUGAUCACCUGUACCAGUUGUUGGAGUUUUCAGAAGGGCUCUAAAUUAACUUUUUUUAUUCACUAGUAGCCAAAAUGGCUAGUAUGUUAAUCUCCAAACAUACCAGUACAUUAAAUAAUGGGUCAAUGGGCCAAGUAUGUUUUCUUUUCUACCAGCAAAACUUAAUUUUCCCCAGCAUUUGGCUGGUGAGCCCUGGUUGUCAUUGAUGGUGAGUAGCUGUGAUAAUAAAUAACUGAAAUGAUGAAGUCCAUCCAGACAUGUCUUGCUUAUUUUAUUGUACUAAUACAACAACGUAGAACAUUUUCUGUGAAAGCCCAACUGGGAAACUCCAACUCCCAUUGACAUUGUGACACAGCACACAAGUGUUCACUGCACGAAAUUGCAUUUAUGCUUCACCCGUGCAAGGGGGCAGCCCCCAAUGGCGCCCCAAGGGAGCAGUGUGGCGGUACCAUGCUCAGGGUAUCUCAGUCAUGGAGGAGGAUGGGGGAGAGCACUGAUUACUUAACUCCCCCCACCAACCUGGUGGGUCGGGAGUCCAACCGGCAACCUUUGGGAUACAAGGCUGACACUCUAACCACUUACCCAUGACCGCCUGUCAAUCUUCA